This 451-nucleotide ribosomal RNA is filed under the name uncultured bacterium. RNAcentral's name for it is "partial 16S ribosomal RNA". It matches the Rfam family "Bacterial small subunit ribosomal RNA", at positions 29 to 523 of the family's 1533-position model. The record is from RNAcentral.
AACGAACGCUGGCGGCAGGCCUAACACAUGCAAGUCGAACGCUCGUAGCAAUACAGGAGUGGCGCACGGGUGAGUAACGCGUGGGAACGUGCCCUUUAGUUUGGGAUAACAGCUGGAAACGGCUGCUAAUACCAAAUACGCCCUUCGGGGGAAAGAUUUAUCGCUAAAGGAUCGGCCCGCGUAAGAUUAGGUAGUUGGUGGGGUAAUGGCCUACCAAGCCUACGAUCUUUAGCUGGUCUGAGAGGAUGAUCAGCCACACUGGAACUGAGACACGGUCCAGACUCCUACGGGAGGCAGCAGUGGGGAAUAUUGGACAAUGGGGGAAACCCUGAUCCAGCCAUGCCGCGUGAACGAUGAAGGCCUUAGGGUUGUAAAGUUCCUUUGUCAGGGAAGAUGAUGACGGUACCUGACGAAUAAGCACCGGCUAACUUCGUGCCAGCCGCCGCGGUAA